UCGGGAAUUUUGGGCAAUGGGCGAGAGCCUGAUCCAGCCAUGCCGCGUGCAGGAAGAAGGCGUUAUGCGUUGUAAACUGCUUUUGCCAGGGGAUAAAAUGACCGUGCGCGGUUAAUUGAAGGUACCUGGUGAAUAAGCCACGGCUAACUACGUGCCAGCAGCCGCGGUAAUACGUAUGGAGCGAGCGUUGUCCGGAAUUAUUGGGCGUAAAGCGUGCGCAGGCGGUUCUAUAAGACAGAUGUGAAAUCCCCGGGCUCAACCUGGGAAUGGCAUUUGUGACUGUAGAGCUAGAGUACGGUAGAGGGGGAUGGAAUUCCGCGUGUAGCAGUGAAAUGCGUAGAUAUGCGGAGGAACACCGAUGGCGAAGGCAAUCCCCUGGACCUGUACUGACGCUCAUGCACGAAAGCGUGGGGAGCAAACAGGAUUAGAUACCCAAGUAGUCCCUGAGCGGGCUGGCAAGGCGCAU
Molecule: ribosomal RNA, 466 nt
Filed under: uncultured bacterium
Lineage: Bacteria
Description: bacterial SSU rRNA
Rfam family: Bacterial small subunit ribosomal RNA
Source: RNAcentral